Molecule: unclassified non-coding RNA, 677 nt
Filed under: Hevea brasiliensis (rubber tree)
Lineage: Eukaryota; Viridiplantae; Streptophyta; Magnoliopsida; Malpighiales; Euphorbiaceae
Source: RNAcentral
AAAAAAAAAAAAAGAAAAAAAAAAAGCAAGACACGACGAGUCGUUCACAACCUACAAGUUGCCAUUUUGAGAUUUCUCUUGCCCUAAUUUCCUUCUGUGUUUCCCAAUUACCAGUCAAGCUUCAACUCCCAUCUAGCUUUUCUUUUAAUUCGGUUCACUCAGUCUCCGGUAGUUUAAGAGGCUGAGCUAAAGAGAAAGAAAAGGAGUGAUUUAUAUAUUUAAAGGAGGGAAAAUGGCUGCCUUCAUCAAUCUACAGGAUUCCCCAAUGUUCCAGAAGGAGAUAUGUUCUCUUGAACAGAUAGCCGAGGAGUUGAAUGAUCGCUGCCAACAACUGUAUAAAGGGUGUAAGAGGUUUAUGGUAGCUCUUGGAGAUGCAUGCAGUGCAGACACCACUUUUGCUGAUUCCUUGGAAGCAUUUGGUGGUGGACAAGAUGACCCUGUUAGUGUAUCUAUAGGAGGCCCUGUCAUAUCCAAGUUCAUCAAUGCAUUUCGUGAGCUUUCUACAUAUAAAGAGCUUCUCCGUUCUCAAGUAGAGCACGUAUUAAUUGAUCGACUUGUGCACUUUAUGGAUGUUGAUCUACAAGAUGCUAAGGAGUCUCGCAAGCGCUUUGACAAAGCCUUUUAUGCUUAUGAUCAGUCACGUGAAAAGUUUGCAUCUUUGAAGAAAAAUACUCGUG